This 492-nucleotide ribosomal RNA is filed under the name uncultured bacterium. Its description in RNAcentral is "partial 16S ribosomal RNA". It matches the Rfam family "Bacterial small subunit ribosomal RNA", at positions 29 to 507 of the family's 1533-position model. The record is from RNAcentral.
AGUGAACGCUGGCGGUAGGCCUAACACAUGCGAGUCGAACGGCAGCACAGUAAGAGCUUGCUCUUACGGGUGGCGAGUGGCGGACGGGUGAGGAAUACAUCGGAAUCUACUUUUUCGUGGGGGAUAACGUAGGGAAACUUACGCUAAUACCGCAUACGACCUACGGGUGAAAGCAGGGGAUCUUCGGACCUUGCGCGAUUGAAUGAGCCGAUGUCGGAUUAGCUAGUUGGCGGGGUAAAGGCCCACCAAGGCGACGAUCCGUAGCUUGUCUGAGAGGAUGAUCAGCCACACUGGAACUGAGACACGGUCCAGACUCCUACGGGAGGCAGCCGUGGGGAAUAUUUGACAAUGGGCGCAAGCCUGAUCCAGCCAUACCGCGUGGGUGAAGAAGGCCUUCGGGUUGUAAAGCCCUUUUGUUGGGAAAGAAAAGCAGCAGGUUAAUACCCCGCUGUUCUGACGGUACCCAAAGAAUAAGCACCGGCUAACUUCGUG